This 550-nucleotide ribosomal RNA is filed under the name uncultured bacterium. RNAcentral describes it as "bacterial SSU rRNA". It matches the Rfam family "Bacterial small subunit ribosomal RNA", at positions 355 to 896 of the family's 1533-position model. The record is from RNAcentral.
UAGGGAAUCUUCGGCAAUGGGGGCAACCCUGACCGAGCAACGCCGCGUGAGUGAAGAAGGUUUUCGGAUCGUAAAGCUCUGUUGUAAGAGAAGAACGAGUGUGAGAGUGGAAAGUCCACGCUGUGACGGUAUCUUACCAGAAAGGGACGGCUAACUACGUGCCAGCAGCCGCGGUAAUACGUAGGUCCCGAGCGUUAUCCGGAUUUAUUGGGCGUAAAGCGAGCGCAGGCGGUUAGAUAAGUCUGAAGUUAAAGGCUGUGGCUUAACCAUAGUACGCUUUGGAAACUGUUUAACUUGAGUGCAAGAGGGGAGAGUGGAAUUCCAUGUGUAGCGGUGAAAUGCGUAGAUAUAUGGAGGAACACCGGUGGCGAAAGCGGCUCUCUGGCUUGUAACUGACGCUGAGGCUCGAAAGCGUGGGGAGCAAACAGGAUUAGAUACCCUGGUAGUCCACGCCGUAAACGAUGAGUGCUAGGUGUUAGACCCUUUCCGGGGUUUAGUGCCGUAGCUAACGCAUUAAGCACUCCGCCUGGGGAGUACGACCGCAAGGUUG